UGGGGAAUCUUGCACAAUGGGGGAAACCCUGAUGCAGCGAUGCCGCGUGAGUGAAGAAGGCCCUUGGGUUGUAAAGCUCUUUCGUCGGGGAAGAAAAUGACUGUACCCGAAUAAGAAGGUCCGGCUAACUUCGUGCCAGCAGCCGCGGUAAUACGAAGGGACCUAGCGUAGUUCGGAAUUACUGGGCUUAAAGAGCACGUAGGUGGUUAAAAAAGUUGGUGGUGAAAUCCCAGAGCUUAACUCUGGAACUGCCAUCAAAACUUUUUAGCUAGAGUAUGAUAGAGGAAAGUAGAAUUUCUAGUGUAGAGGUGAAAUUCGUAGAUAUUAGAAAGAAUACCAAUUGCGAAGGCAGCUUUCUGGAUCAUUACUGACACUGAGGUGCGAAAGCAUGGGUAGCGAAGAGG
This 404-nucleotide ribosomal RNA is filed under the name uncultured bacterium. RNAcentral describes it as "bacterial SSU rRNA". It matches the Rfam family "Bacterial small subunit ribosomal RNA", at positions 355 to 776 of the family's 1533-position model. The record is from RNAcentral.